RNAcentral lists this ribosomal RNA (254 nucleotides) under uncultured bacterium. Its description in RNAcentral is "partial 16S ribosomal RNA". It matches the Rfam family "Bacterial small subunit ribosomal RNA", at positions 795 to 1052 of the family's 1533-position model. The record is from RNAcentral.
CCACACAGUAAACUAUGUACACUAGGUGCUGGGGUAACACUCAGUGCCGUCGCAAACGCAGUAAGUGUACCGCCUGGGGAGUAUGCCCGCAAGGGUGAAACUCAAAGGAAUUGACGGGGGCCCACACAAGCGGUGGAGCAUGUGGUUUAAUUCGAUGAUACGCGAGGAACCUUACCUGGGUUUGACAUCAAGAGUAAUACUGUAGAGAUACAGUAGCGUAGCAAUACGACUUUUGACAGGUGCUGCAUGGCUGU